AUUGAACGCUGGCGGCAUGCUUUACACAUGCAAGUCGAACGGUAACAGGCCUUCGGGUGCUGACGAGUGGCGAACGGGUGAGUAAUGCAUCGGAACGUACCCAGAGGUGGGGGAUAACGCAGCGAAAGCUGUGCUAAUACCGCAUGUGAUCUGAGGAUGAAAGCGGGGGACCGAGCAGCAAUGUUUGGCCUCGCGCCUUUGGAGCGGCCGAUGUCGGAUUAGCUAGUUGGUGGGGUAAAGGCCUACCAAGGCGACGAUCCGUAGCUGGUCUGAGAGGACGACCAGCCACACUGGGACUGAGACACGGCCCAGACUCCUACGGGAGGCAGCAAUGGGGAAUUUUGGACAAUGGGCGCAAGCCUGAUCCAGCAAUGCCGCGUGCGGGAAGAAGGCCUUCUGGUUGUAAACCGCUUUUGGCAGGAACGAAACGGUGUCCGCUAAUACCGGGCGCUAAUGACGGUACCUGCAGAAUAAGCACCGGCUAACUACGUG
This 492-nucleotide ribosomal RNA is filed under the name uncultured bacterium. Its description in RNAcentral is "partial 16S ribosomal RNA". It matches the Rfam family "Bacterial small subunit ribosomal RNA", at positions 30 to 507 of the family's 1533-position model. The record is from RNAcentral.